AGCCUUUGGUACUUAGCCCAGGCUAAGCUCUUACACUGGCUGUAUAGAAAGAGGAAGCAGAGUAGACCUUCCCAUUAUAUAUGCCUAGUAUGGGGGGAUGGAAAAUAUUU
Molecule: small nucleolar RNA, 110 nt
Filed under: Fukomys damarensis (Damara mole-rat)
Lineage: Eukaryota; Metazoa; Chordata; Mammalia; Rodentia; Bathyergidae
Description: Small nucleolar RNA SNORA51 (ENSFDAG00000019373.1)
Source: RNAcentral